This 425-nucleotide ribosomal RNA is filed under the name uncultured bacterium. RNAcentral's name for it is "partial 16S ribosomal RNA". It matches the Rfam family "Bacterial small subunit ribosomal RNA", at positions 354 to 796 of the family's 1533-position model. The record is from RNAcentral.
GUGGGGGAUAUUGCACAAUGGGGGAAACCCUGAUGCAGCGACGCCGCGUGAAGGAAGACGUACUUCGGUAUGUAAACUUCUAUCAGCAGGGAAGAAGAUGACGGUACCUGACUAAGAAGCCCCGGCUAACUACGUGCCAGCAGCCGCGGUAAUACGUAGGGGGCAAGCGUUAUCCGGAUUUACUGGGUGUAAAGGGAGCGUAGACGGUGAAGCAAGUCUGAUGUGAAAACCCGGGGCUCAACUCCGGGAUUGCAUUGGAAACUGUUUUACUUGAGUGCUGGAGGGGCAAGCGGAAUUCCUGGUGUAGCGGUGAAAUGCGUAGAUAUCAGGAAGAACACCGGUGGCGAAGGCGGCUUGCUGGACAGUAACUGACGUUGAGGCUCGAAAGCGUGGGGAGCAAACAGGAUUAGAUACCCUUGUAGUCC